RNAcentral lists this small nuclear RNA (107 nucleotides) under Sciurus vulgaris (Eurasian red squirrel). Lineage: Eukaryota; Metazoa; Chordata; Mammalia; Rodentia; Sciuridae. The record is from RNAcentral.
GUGCUCACUUGGGCAGCACAUAUACUAAAAUUGGAAUGAUACAGAGAAGAUUAGCAUGGUCCCUGCAUAAGGAAGACACGCAAAUUCAGGAAGUGAUCCACAUUUAA